GCUGGCGGCGUGCCUAACACAUGCAAGUCGAGCGAGAAAGUGGAGCAAUCCAUGAGUAAAGCGGCGCACGGGUGAGUAACACGUGACUAACCUACCCUCGAGUGGGGAAUAACUUCGGGAAACCGAGGCUAAUACCGCAUAAUACCCACGGGUCAAAGGAGAAAUCCGCUUGGGGAGGGGGUCGCGGCCGAUUAGUUAGUUGGCGGGGUAAUGGCCCACCAAGACGAUGAUCGGUAUCCGGCCUGAGAGGGCGCACGGACACACUGGAACUGAAACACGGUCCAGACUCCUACGGGAGGCAGCAGUGGGGAAUUUUGCGCAAUGGGGGAAACCCUGACGCAGCAACGCCGCGUGGAGGAUGAAGUCCUUCGGGACGUAAACUCCUUUCGAUCGGGACGAUUAUGACGGUACCGGAAGAAGAAGCCCCGGCUAACUUCGUGCCAGCAGCCGCGGUAAUACGAGGGGGGCGAGCGUUGUUCGGAAUUAUUGGGCGUAAAGGGUGCGUANGCGGUUUGGUAAGUCUGAUGUGAAAUCUAUGGGCUC
RNAcentral lists this ribosomal RNA (543 nucleotides) under uncultured bacterium. RNAcentral's name for it is "bacterial SSU rRNA". It matches the Rfam family "Bacterial small subunit ribosomal RNA", at positions 35 to 610 of the family's 1533-position model. The record is from RNAcentral.